This 635-nucleotide ribosomal RNA is filed under the name uncultured bacterium. Its description in RNAcentral is "bacterial SSU rRNA". It matches the Rfam family "Bacterial small subunit ribosomal RNA", at positions 338 to 1533 of the family's 1533-position model. The record is from RNAcentral.
CCUACGGGAGGCAGCAGUAGGGAAUCUUCCGCAAUGGACGAAAGUCUGACGGAGCAACGCCGCGUGAACGAUGAAGGCCUUCGGGUCGUAAAGUUCUGUUGUUAGGGAAGAACAAGUGCUAGUUAAAUAAGCUGGCACCUUGACGGUACCUAACCAGAAAGCCACGGCUAACUACGUGCCAGCAGCCGCGGUAAUACGUAGGUGGCAAGCGUUGUCCGGAAUUAUUGGGCGUAAAGCGCGCGCAGGCGGUUUCUUAAGUCUGAUGUGAAAGCCCCCGGCUCAACCGGGGAGGGUCAUUGGAAACUGGGAAACUUGAGUGCAGAAGAGGAAAGUGGAAUUCCAAGUGUAGCGGUGAAAUGCGUAGAGAUUUGGAGGAACACCAGUGGCGAAGGCGACUUUCUGGUCUGUAACUGACGCUGAGGCGCGAAAGCGUGGGGAGCAAACAGGAUUAGAUACCCUGGUAGUCCACGCUGUAAACGAUGAGUGCUAAGUGUUAGAGGGUUUCCGCCCUUUAGUGCUGAAGUUAACGCAUUAAGCACUCCGCCUGGGGAGUACGGUCGCAAGACUGAAACCUUANAAGUAGUAAGUUCGGACGNGUAGAGACGUCGACCGAGGACCACGACGGAGGGUAGAGG